This 465-nucleotide ribosomal RNA is filed under the name uncultured bacterium. RNAcentral's name for it is "partial 16S ribosomal RNA". It matches the Rfam family "Bacterial small subunit ribosomal RNA", at positions 28 to 507 of the family's 1533-position model. The record is from RNAcentral.
GACGAACGCUGGCGGCGUGCUUAACACAUGCAAGUCGAACGGAAAGGCCCUGCUUGCAGGGUACUCGAGUGGCGAACGGGUGAGUAACACGUGGGUGAUCUGCCCUGCACUUCGGGAUAAGCCUUGGAAACUGGGUCUAAUACCGGAUAGGAGCCAUUUUUAGUGUGAUGGUUGGAAAGUUUUUUCGGUGUAGUAUGAGCUCGCGGCCUAUCAGCUUGUUGGUGGGGUAAUGGCCUACCAAGGCGGCGACGGGUAGCCGGCCUGAGAGGGUGGACGGCCACAUUGGGACUGGGAUACGGCCCAGAAUCCCACGGGAGGCAGCAGGGGGGAAUAUUGCAAAAUGGGCGCAAGCCUGAUGCAGCGAAGCCGCGUGGGGGAUGACGGCCUUCGGGUUGUAAACUCCUUUCGCCAGGGAAGAAGCUUUUUGUGACGGUACCUAGAUAAGAAGCACCGGCUAACUACGUG